Molecule: ribosomal RNA, 524 nt
Filed under: uncultured bacterium
Lineage: Bacteria
Description: partial 16S ribosomal RNA
Rfam family: Bacterial small subunit ribosomal RNA
Source: RNAcentral
UGGGGAAUAUUGCACAAUGGGCGCAAGCCUGAUGCAGCCAUGCCGCGUGUGUGAAGAAGGCCUUCGGGUUGUAAAGCACUUUCAGCGAGGAGGAAGGUGGUGAGCUUAAUACGCUCAUCAAUUGACGUUACUCGCAGAAGAAGCACCGGCUAACUCCGUGCCAGCAGCCGCGGCAAUACGGAGGGUGCAAGCGUUAAUCGGAAUUACUGGGCGUAAAGCGCACGCAGGCGGUUUGUUAAGUCAGAUGUGAAAUCCCCGGGCUCAACCUGGGAACUGCAUUUGAAACUGGCAAGCUAGAGUCUCGUAGAGGGGGGUAGAAUUCCAGGUGUAGCGGUGAAAUGCGUAGAGAUCUGGAGGAAUACCGGUGGCGAAGGCGGCCCCCUGGACGAAGACUGACGCUCAGGUGCGAAAGGCGUGGGGCAGCAAACAGGAUUAGAUACCCUGGUAGUCCACGCUGUAAACGAUGUCGAUUUUGGAGGUUGUGCCCCUUGAGGCGUGGCUUCCGGAGCUAACGCGUUAAAUCG